RNAcentral lists this ribosomal RNA (460 nucleotides) under uncultured bacterium. RNAcentral describes it as "partial 16S ribosomal RNA". It matches the Rfam family "Bacterial small subunit ribosomal RNA", at positions 338 to 795 of the family's 1533-position model. The record is from RNAcentral.
CCUACGGGCGGCAGCAGUGAGGAAUAUUGGUCAAUGGACGAGAGUCUGAACCAGCCAAGUAGCGUGAAGGAUGACUGCCCUAUGGGUUGUAAACUUCUUUUAUAAAGGAAUAAAACGAGGCACGUGUGCCUUUUUGCAUGUACUUUAUGAAUAAGGAUCGGCUAACUCCGUGCCAGCAGCCGCGGUAAUACGGAGGAUCCGAGCGUUAUCCGGAUUUAUUGGGUUUAAAGGGAGCGUAGAUGGGUUGUUAAGUCAGUUGUGAAAGUUUGCGGCUCAACCGUAAAAUUGCAAUUGAUACUGGCAGUCGUGAGUACAGUUGAGGUAGGCGGAAUUCGUGGUGUAGCGGUGAAAUGCUUAGAUAUCACGAAGAACCCCGAUUGCGAAGGCAGCUUACUAAACUGUGACUGACAUUGAUGCUCGAAAGUGUGGGUAUCAAACAGGAGUAGAUACCCUAGUAGUC